GUUUGAUCAUGGCUCAGAUUGAACGCUGGCGGAAUGCUUUACACAUGCAAGUCGAACGGCAGCACGGAGCUUGCUCUGGUGGCGAGUGGCGAACGGGUGAGUAAUAUAUCGGAACGUACCCUGGAGUGGGGGAUAACGUAGCGAAAGCUACGCUAAUACCGCAUACGAUCUAAGGAUGAAAGUGGGGGAUCGCAAGACCUCAUGCUCCUGGAGCGGCCGAUAUCUGAUUAGCUAGUUGGUAGGGUAAAAGCCUACCAAGGCAUCGAUCAGUAGCUGGUCUGAGAGGACGACCAGCCACACUGGAACUGAGACACGGUCCAGACUCCUACGGGAGGCAGCAGUGGGGGAUUUUGGACAAUGGGGGCAACCCUGAUCCAGCAAUGCCGCGUGAGUGAAGAAGGCCUUCGGGUUGUAAAGCUCUUUUGUCAGGGGAGAAACGGUGCGAGCUAAUAUCUCGUGCUAAUGACGGUACCUGAAGAAUAAGCACCGGCUAACUACGUGCCAGCAGCCGCGGUAAUACGUAGGGUGCAAGCGUUAAUCGGAAUUACUGGGCGUAAAGCGUGCGCAGGCGGUUUUGUAAGACUGUCGUGAAAUCCCCGGGCUCAACCUGGGAAUGGCGAUGGUGACUGCAAGGCUAGAGUUUGGCAGAGGGGGGUAGAAUUCCACGUGUAGCAGUGAAAUGCGUAGAUAUGUGGAGGAACACCGAUGGCGAAGGCAGCCCCCUGGGUCAAAACUGACGCUCAUGCACGAAAGCGUGGGGGAGCAAACAGGAUUAGAUACCCUGG
This 785-nucleotide ribosomal RNA is filed under the name uncultured bacterium. RNAcentral describes it as "bacterial SSU rRNA". It matches the Rfam family "Bacterial small subunit ribosomal RNA", at positions 11 to 790 of the family's 1533-position model. The record is from RNAcentral.